CCCCGGAGCAGAGCCUGGGCCCUGCUCGGAGCCCUCCCUGCACACAGGGACACCCAGGCCUGAGGGCCCCUCUCAGCUGGGGCUCCUCUCGAGGCUGGACAGCCCCAGCUCCCUCAGCCUUUCCCUGCCAGAGAUGCUCCAGCCCCUAAAUCAUCUCCACAGCCUCCGCUGGCCCCGCUCCAGGAGCUCCAUGGCCCUGCUGUGCUGAGGAGCCCAGAGCUGGACACAGCUCUGCAGGGGAGGCCUUACGAGGGCUGAUUGUUAAUAGUGUUAAACCCUGGCCAGGAGUUCGACAGGCAGGAGCUGAUCCUGAUGAUCCACAGCAAGUCUCAGAGCCCGUGACUUCAAGACUUGUUCUACCAGCUGAAGAGGGUUUAAUCUGCUUCCUCUUCCCAAGCAGGAAAAGUUCAUCUUCUGUGACCACAAGUCUUCUGUUUACUCAAAUUAGUGUCACAGCUGUGUGAGAUAUUUUCACUGUUGAAGAAAUGAAGCUGGCAGUUGGCAACAGGAACCAGGCACAUCCCUGAGAGCUGGACAAGGCACUUUGAACUGGACUUGAUGCCUGGGACGUUGGUGGAAGGAGCAGUAAAUGAGGAUAAUGAAUGUGUUUGGGAGACGGAAGGAGAACAGGCAGAAAACUCCUCAGAGAUCUGGCAGGCUCCAAGCAGCCUGAGGGAAAUGGAUUAGUGAGCACAGGACAGUACUGUGUGACUACUUCUCAGCACUGUUAAAAUGUGGAAAAAUGCAGCAGGGAAGAAGCAGCUCUGGAAAUGAGAAAGGAGGAGAAGAAUGCAGGACACAAGGGAUGGAACAAGAAGAACUAGGGGAAAAAAAAUUCCAAAUGGAAAAAGUUGUCUAAGUUAAUGAAAGAUAGAUGGAUUCCCAUGUUGCAAACAAAUGUUGAGGGAAACUAUUUUCUCUUU
Vidua chalybeata is the source of this 923-nucleotide long non-coding RNA. RefSeq lists it as uncharacterized. Lineage: Eukaryota; Metazoa; Chordata; Aves; Passeriformes; Viduidae. The record is from RefSeq and is a predicted model, not a curated record. The transcript has 5 exons.